This 2859-nucleotide long non-coding RNA is filed under the name Marmota monax (woodchuck). Lineage: Eukaryota; Metazoa; Chordata; Mammalia; Rodentia; Sciuridae. The record is from RNAcentral.
AAAAAAAAAAAAAAGAACUUGAGGCUGACCAAGAAAGAGGACACCUGGAAAGGGCUUGCCUAGCCAUCACCUAAUGCAGAGCCCACCCUUGGAGGAGGCACCAUCAACAGUGACAAUGGCGUUGAGCACGUGGUUACAGUGCUGGUAAUUAGAGAUGGGGUGACAGCCUCACCCUGCCCCGGCACAGCUUCAUACCACUGGUCCCAUUUAUUUGAAGGAGCCGGUAUUCACAAGGGUGGGUGGGUGUUAGGCAUCACAUGGCCUGAUAGUGUGGGCCAGGUGGGAACAAGGGAAAUAAGCCCUGUGUGGACAGCCUCCACCUGCGAGCCAGAGCUGAGCUCUUCUCUAUUCUCACACCUGUCCUCCCUCCCAUGCCCUCUACAUGUAGCUGUGUCUCUGAGACCACUAGGUGAGUGUUCCAUGUUCCAUGGGACACACAGAAGGAGGCAUGCAAGGCUAACUCUGUGGCCUCCCUUGCCUUCUUCCAGAAAACGUAGCAGCAGUGGACAGCCACCAAGCACAGGAUUGCCUUGCCAGCCCUAGCCCCGGGGGAAAAAAAUUCCACAGUGCCAGAGACUUCAAGGUAUUCGUGGCAACAUAGUUCUAAGCACAGAGGCUGGCAGGAAGGCAGAGCAUCUUAAUUGCAACAUCAGACGAUGCCCAACCAAAUCCCCAGGACGCUCCCUGCCAUCCCUGUACUCUGUAGACACACCAGAGAUUCCGCUACAAAUAUUUACAGUGCUGUUGUUCUCACUACUGUGAGCAUAUGUGGCAAGAAAGAAUCCACAUGGCAUUCCAAGCAUGUCAUGAUCCUGGCUUUCAUUUCUAUUAAAAGUCCCGGAGGCCCUGGGUGUAAUGGAACAGAAUCACCUCUCUCCUGCCACCUUCCGAGUGCAAACAGAUCUGGCUGUAUGGUGACUUGGUGCCCUAGCCAUGCACUGUGUGAGUGAACCAUGCCAAACACAAAUGCCCUCUGCCUCAGGGGAGGGCUUCCUGGGACACACAGCUGAGAAGCCCAGGGUGCUGUGACAUGCCAGCCCAAGGUGUCCGCCCGAGUGUUCAUUCCAAGGAAGAGCAGAGCAGGUGUUUUCUGGCUGACUUGCUCCCUCUCAGGAGCACAUCAGAAGUCACAGGUAUCUUCACACUUCAUUUCCAUGUAGCUUUUUUUAAUUGCAAGGUUGUGAUUUGCUGGUGUGGAAUCUUUAGGCCCUUUCCCACCUAAUUUCACCCGGCCCAGCAGCUGGCAUGCAGACAGGGCUUCUGUCUGUUCUUGCAGAGAUGCUGGUACAGAGCCGCACUGCAGGUGCAGGUGGGUCAAAUGCAGAGGAGGCUCCUGGACCUCAGCAUUCUCCCACUCCUUCCUCCCAAGUCCAGUUCCAGCAGCAUGCAGUUCCCCUUCCUCUAGCUGUUCCUCACAGAGGCUGCACAGCAUCAUGUGAGAGAGUGGGCUUUGGAAGGAAGGAGACAGACAUCACCUGACUUCAAAACCUGCCUCCUUCCCUACCGGGCUGUGUACUUGGUCGAGGUAUUGACCUCCCUGGACCUUAAAUCCUAAAUGUAGAAUUUGGAGAUAGACUGUGGGGAGGAUGAUGUCUAAUGUUAAGUCAAGUACCCAGUACAUAGCGGGUAUCUGAUGCAUGGCAAUUAUUGUCCCCCUUGUGAGUGGGAGGAAGGUGUCAAGUGAGUGAUUAAUGGCCACAUGCAAACCCAGGUGCUUUUGACCUGCCUUGAACCCUUCAGGAACCAAGGUGUUUGCAAGUAAAACUUGCUUGGGGUUGCCUGAAGCAGACUGGAAUGAACUAUAUCUGUUCCCCUGGGAGCCCCUGCUUAAGUGCCCAUCCCUGGCUUGCUGUAUGCUAAGAUUUUGAGCAAAUGGAAAUUUUCAAUCUUUACCCAUUAGGCAUGUGCCCGCCUUCCCAGCACAUCCCAUCUCUGAACGCUACACAAAGUUCUGCUCAGGGAGGCGGGACAGCCUCGGAAAUUCCCUCAAGGACCCUGAAGGACUCAUCUCCACAGACAACCCUGUAGAUUAUCACUAACCUGCUUCCCUAAUUUUAUUGUCUAUUUUGGAUUUAAAGCAUAAAAGUUAAUGCCUGUACAUUUUCAAGGUGAUAACUGGGAAAGUCUGCGGUCAAGAUUUCUAUUCUAGCAGGUAAAAUAGGGCCCUGGAGAGUUACAGUCACUUAUCAGGGAGGGUGAGUACCAAGCACGGUGGUAUUGAAAUCAUAAAACUUAAUGCAGAGUGUGUGCAUCAACAAGGGGUUUAACUGCCAUAGCAGGAAGUAAAGCAGCCCACGCUGGGCUGGAAACCAGUCCCCGGGUACCUGCAAUACAUUAUUUUAAGUGGCCAAAGGAGUAAGCCCAGCUAACUAAAUGGGAGCCACAAACCUACCUUACUGUGGUGGUGAUACCUCAUCCAUGAGCUUCAAGCCACUUGGUAGCUCACAGAACACUGAGCUGCUGGUCACCCAAGGCCACUAGAAAAAGAAACCUAAGCACUAGCAGAUGCAUAGAGUUUGGGCAAGGGAGAUGGGAUGGAGCCUGUGGGAAUCGAGACUAAUAUUUUCUGCUUGGAGCUGAUAAGUAUUUAUAGACCCUGUUUUCAUCAAUAAAUAUUUCAGAAGCACAUAUUCCAUGCCAGGCUUCUGUGCUCUUCAGUCUAGGAGGCAAUAAGGACUGGUUCGUGCAGCUAUGGCCUGGGAGCUGCAGGAGGCCUCACUGUAGGCGGGUGCUGGAUGAGUUCGGGGGGUGCACAUUGCAUGCCCUGUCCCAGGGGUGAAGAGAGGAGACUGGGUUUGGGAGAUGAACACGGGUUCUGCACUUCCAGAGCCUAGGAUUGGGGUCAGGGGUGGAGAAAAG